This 253-nucleotide ribosomal RNA is filed under the name uncultured bacterium. RNAcentral's name for it is "partial 16S ribosomal RNA". It matches the Rfam family "Bacterial small subunit ribosomal RNA", at positions 524 to 776 of the family's 1533-position model. The record is from RNAcentral.
UACGGGGGGGGCAAGCGUUGUUCGGAAUUACUGGGCGUAAAGGGCGCGUAGGCGGCCUUCUAAGUCGGACGUGAAAUCCCUCGGCUUAACCGAGGAACUGCGUCCGAUACUGAAAGGCUUGAAUCCGGGAGAGGGAUGUGGAAUUCCAGGUGUAGCGGUGAAAUGCGUAGAUAUCUGGAGGAACACCGGCGGCGAAGGCGGCAUCCUGGACCGGCAUUGACGCUGAGGCGCGAAAGCUAGGGGAGCGAACAGG